UGAAGGGUAGUUUAAUUAGAAUGUAGGAUUGUCAAUCUUGUAGUGUUAUUUUGGUAACCCCUUUAG
This 66-nucleotide transfer RNA is filed under the name Teredothyra matocotana. Its description in RNAcentral is "tRNA-Asp". It matches the Rfam family "tRNA". From Rfam's summary of the family: Transfer RNA (tRNA) molecules are approximately 80 nucleotides in length. Their secondary structure includes four short double-helical elements and three loops (D, anti-codon, and T loops). Further hydrogen bonds mediate the characteristic L-shaped molecular structure. tRNAs have two regions of fundamental functional importance: the anti-codon, which is responsible for specific mRNA codon recognition, and the 3' end, to which the tRNAs corresponding amino acid is attached (by aminoacyl-tRNA synthetases). tRNAs cope with the degeneracy of the genetic code in two manners: having more than one tRNA (with a specific anti-codon) for a particular amino acid; and 'wobble' base-pairing, i.e. permitting non-standard base-pairing at the 3rd anti-codon position. The record is from RNAcentral. Lineage: Eukaryota; Metazoa; Mollusca; Bivalvia; Myida; Teredinidae.